RNAcentral lists this unclassified non-coding RNA (365 nucleotides) under Powellomyces sp. RNAcentral describes it as "partial internal transcribed spacer region". The stretch from base 1 to 46 matches the Rfam family "Eukaryotic small subunit ribosomal RNA", at positions 1786 to 1831 of the family's 1831-position model. Lineage: Eukaryota; Fungi; Chytridiomycota; Chytridiomycetes; Spizellomycetales; Powellomycetaceae. The record is from RNAcentral.
AAGUCGUAACAAGGUAACCGUAGGUGAACCUGCGGUUGGAUCAUUAAAAAGAUCUAGCCCGAAGUGGGACUGAGAGGUCGGAUUCGAGGUAUCCGCGACACUGUCGUGGGUGUUUCGCCGAUCACUCUAACCCAUGCCGGGUUUUCUCACCUCAAAAGUGAGUCAACAUUAUGUGAACUGUUCUGUCUCUGGCGGUGGGGUGGUGUCAAAACUACCUGUCAGCAUCCGGGUUCUCUCGGUGUGCCGUGGACAAGCCCGUCAAUGGUGUAUGUUUCAUACAAACUUUUGUUUCAUCAAUCUGUCUGACAUACCUUUGUAUCUAAAAUAUACAAAAACAACUUUUGGCAACGGAUCUCUUGGCUCCC